GAGGUUGUGGCUCAGUAGUAGAGUGCUUGCUUAGCAUGCACGGGUCACUGGGUUCGAUCCUCAGCACCACA
RNAcentral lists this transfer RNA (71 nucleotides) under Marmota monax (woodchuck). RNAcentral describes it as "tRNA.Ala". The record is from RNAcentral. Lineage: Eukaryota; Metazoa; Chordata; Mammalia; Rodentia; Sciuridae.